Pseudopipra pipra is the source of this 5860-nucleotide long non-coding RNA. RefSeq lists it as uncharacterized. The record is from RefSeq and is a predicted model, not a curated record. The transcript has 3 exons. Lineage: Eukaryota; Metazoa; Chordata; Aves; Passeriformes; Pipridae.
UUAUAACAAUUGGGGACCUGAUUCUACAAGGACAACAGGAGACCUUUCAGCAGAUUUUCUUUUCUCGUAUUUUUUUUUCCCCUAUAAUUAUUUUGCAAGGUCUUUUGAGCCACCAACGUGCACCAGCUCUCCAGUAAUGUGCCAGCACAGAUGCCAGCCCUCUGCCCAGGCAGCUCUAUUCACACAUAUACAUACAUAAGAAUCAUUGCACAAAGAGCAUUUGCUUUCUGCUGCCUCCCGAGCUGCAGAGUCUCCGUAGGCUGCCUAAUUAUAAGAUCUUAGCAAUAAUUUUUUUUCCAGCGAUAAUUAACUGGUCCUGGAGAGAGCUGAAAAUAAGCACUUCCCCAGCAAGCAGCAAACUCCCCUGAGUUUUCUCUGCUAAAGUUACAACUCAGCAUGAAACUGCUCCAGCCUCCCGGGAACACAGACCAUGCCAGCACCUCCCUGCCACAGUCUGGGACACCACGACAGUCACAGGCAACCAAAUACAGGUGAAAUGGUGGGUGUGGAGUAGCAGUGGGAUCCCAAGGGGUGUGCAGUGGGGAGAAGGAUCCAAAGGCAUGUGGAAUGGGGAGAGAGAUCCCAAGGAGUGUGCGAGGGGGAGAAGGAUGCCAUGGGGCAUGGAAUGGGGAGAGGAUCUCAAGGGGUGUGCAAGGAAGAGAAGGAUCCUAAGGGUCUGUCACAGGUUUUCCACCUCCACGGGUCUGGCAUCCUUCAUCCCCCUGUAGUGCCACCCCCUGGGCUCCACAGGUCAACUUCCAACUCAGCCAGACAGGAGGGAAACUCUGCAGCUUGGAGCUCAACCUGUGACCUACCCAAAUUUCCCCGUGCAUCUGGUGUGAAGGACGAAGUAGCUCUGGUCCCUCCUGCAAGCAGAGCCAGCAGCUGGCAAAGCCAUCCCUGCAUCGAGGUGAGUCAGUGCUCAGCAUCCCAUCACCCUGCAGUUGGUUGAGUGUCUCCUCUCCUCACCAGGGAGCAAUGCCACGUGGGAUGAGUCAUGUAGAAAAUGGGUUUAUAUCCAGAUGCUGCAGGGAAACUAAUUUUGAUUUAACAAGCAGGCAAGAAUGAGGUAUCUUGAGUUUUUAUUUCAGUCCUACUCCACAGGAAACAAUAUUCACUAGCGUUAUCUUCCUUAUACUUGUUUGUAUUUGACCCAAUACUGUGUUAAAUAUAAAAUACUGAUUGAAUAAGGGUGGAUGGUGAAAAACAUGAGAUGCUAAAAAGUUGCCUCAAGCCCUCCUCCACAGACAUCCUGAAUGUUGAGAGUCACUUAAAAUUAGUAUAAAAUAGGAGGACAAUCUGAUCACUUGCUCUGUGCCCUCCCCCCCAAUCCUGCUUUGCAAGGGGAGGAUUUAGGAGCAAGAGGGGGGACUUCUCAAUUACAGAGAAGCCCACUCAGCAAAUCCAGGCUGAAGGUGGUGAUGUCCUAGACAGAGUCCAACCACCCAUUCCUACCCAGGCAUCUGUCCUGCCCUGGAUUUUCAGCAGGAGACUGAAAUGAAGUAGCCCCAGAAAGGUCCUUCUGGCACCUCCCUGUGCCUCAGGAGCCCCUGGAACAGAUUUAGAGCCAAAAGCUGCCGAUGACAAAAUGGUUUCCAAGUUAAAUCCCUUGGGAUGAAGCCUAAACACAAUGGUGGUCCUUGGGCAUCCUCAGGCCCUGGCAGGGGAUGUUUGCCUAUGGCUGUUUGCAUGGUCUGUCCCCAGGGUGGUUCCCCAUGGGUUUAGUGGCAGAGGGGGAGGAGGGCCAGGCACCCUGAGCCACAGUUGUCACUGUGGCCCACAGUGGGUCUGGGAAUCCAGUCCCCCAGACUCAGUGAAAAUUGAAGCACAUGUUUGUGAAGCACUGGCUGUCCUCCAAGUGCUUCACGGGGUCCUCACAUGAGCCCUGUGAGGUAGGUUGGUGUCUUCACCCCCAUUUUACAGAUGGUGAGACUGAGGCACAGAGAAGGGUAAUGACUUGUCAGACAGAAAAUAUGGCAUCUCCCAUUCUGGGACCUUUAUAUCCUGCUAUUUCAACCCCAGAUAUGCUCCAUCAACUGCUGGUUACUCACAGCUUGUCCUUCUCCACCCCUCCAUCUGUGGUAGGUGACAGAGCAAGGGCUGGGACCUGGGGGACCAGGAGAGGCAGCAGCAGAGCCUGGGCUCACAUGAGCUUGUUCAUCCUAUAUCCCUAAGACCACUUGUCACCCCAAGGGGAAACCUCAGCCCAAAGGCUGCUUUGGGGUGCCCUGGGCAGAGACCCCCAGCAGCCCCAUGCCACGCUGGGGUGCUGGGCACAGCACCCAGAGCCCCUUAUAGGAAGCGAAAACCCACUGGAUUUUUUUGCUGACCUGGUGACCAGAGCAUCAGGAGGGGAUGAAUAUCCAGAUGUUUCCUCUUUGGUAAUCUGCUGCAAAGUGGCACAGCCCUGCAGAGCUGGUCCCAGGGCACUGCAGGCUAGGGAGGCCUCAGCUCUGUGGGAGGUGGGGCAGAGCCAGGAGCUCAGCUCCUCAGCAUGGAGACGGAGAAACGGGAGAUGUGUGAUGGUGGCCAUAAAUCUCCUUCGCUUGCCACGUCACACCAAGACCUCUGCAGUUGUGAUUAAUCGAAGGCCAGAAAGAGAUGAUGGGAAAUCGAUGCCUUCAGGGCUAACAGGGAAGGUGCAGGCAGGACUGGGAGCAGAUCCCGGCACGUACCACAGCCCGGCACACACCAGACCCUCCUGGCUCCAGCAGCUCUGCCGGUGUGUUUGGGGAGCAACACCUGGUGUGGGUUUGCCAUUCCAGCACCAUCAAGGCUGCUCCCGACAACCAGAUGGAUGUUCCAUGUCUUGUUAUCCUGUGUUAGCACUUUGUGGCCAUGGUUAGGCAUUUAAAAAUGGAGCAUCACUAGGAUCUCCCUGUCCCAGCUCACCUCCAAGCAUCAUGCGGAUGCGUUCCUUCCCUGCAGCGAUCCUGGGAAUGUCAGAAAUCCUCCCAAAAGUGGAAUUAAAUCUGAUGAGCAACAGGCUUAUCAUCAAAAUGGAAGCAGAGAAGGCAGGCAGCCCCAUGACCCCAGUCCGAGGAGGUUCACUUCCCUCCCUCGAAGAGAAAGGGAAUCCCCUGAAGCAGAUGGGCUAGCCCCACUCAGGGGGAUGCCAGGAGCUGGAUCCCAGCUCUGCUCCCUGCCAAAGGCACACAUGCAGCAGAGCCUGGGAGGGGGCCAUGCUUUGGGCUGCCACUGGCACUGAGGCCAAAGAGGAAAGCAAAGCACCCCAGGGAGAAAAUGUCCGUGGGAGCUCCCAGGGCCCGUCUAGAGGAUGAACCAAGUUGUGCACUUAAUAUUGGCUUAGAGAAAGGGUUUCCCAGUGCUCAGAGACUGGGGCGCCCUGGAAGAGAUUCAAGUUUCAAUCUCAUAUAAGGCUUUUUGAGUCUGGACCUUCCUGUCAAGCACUUGGGAGGGAGCAGUUAAUGCUGACACGACUUAGGACCACUUAGGCGCCGAGUCUGGGUGGUGCAGGGCUGUCACCAUGCCCCUCCUCCACCACUGGGUCUUUCCCCCCAUCCUGACACCUCCAGUCCCCUGGGUGGCUCAUGCUAAGGACUCCAGUAGCCAAACCCAGGGUGUCACUAGCCACAGGCAUUGGGGCCAAGAUCCUCACUCCCAUGGGAUGCUCGAGGCCAGGUGAGUGAGCGAAGAGCCUGGCAAGUCCAGCAGGUGAAGCCCCCUAUUACCCACAGCCCCUCAGUCGGUCACUUUGUUAUGAAACCUUUGCCUAAAAAAAUAGAACAGUUCCCGAGGUUAAAAAAGAAAAAUGCUUAAAAUCGACCUCCAGGCUCUCCUGUCUGUGCGGGAGGGGCACCAGCAGCUGCUGCCUGCGGGGCCAGGGGGUGGUUUGGGGUGAGCCCACAGUGCAGGCUCUCUCCCCACUCCCCUCCGUGCCCCCGUGUGCCUGUUGGCACAAACAACGUCUUUAAGGCUUCUACCGGGACGUUUUGGUCUCCAGCGCUCCGGGCCGGUAGAGGUACCUCCAGAUGGCGUAGUAGUGGAUUCCAGCUCCGAUGGCCACGAAGAGGUGCCAGAUGGCGUGGGCGAAGGGGAUGCGGCCGUCGCUUUUGAAGAACACCAUGCCCAGGCAGUAGAAGAAGCCACCAGCCACCAGCUCCGGGAGGCCGUCCCUGUUGGGCUGGGAGCAGGCAGGGAGGAAGGGCUCAGUGCGACCACACCGUGUCUGCCCUUUCCCCACCACCCCAUCAAGACCAGAAGUGUGACCACAGCUGCAGGCAGGAUCCUCUCUCUGCCUUCUGCUACCCCCAGCAAGGCAGUGGGGACCCAGCAGCCCAGCUUUUCUGGGAGGAUUGGAACCAGAUGGUCUUUAAGGUCCUUCCAACCCCAAUCAAUUUGAUUCUGUGACUCUGCGAUUUCAACUCAACGGAGCCCAGGCAGGAGGUCUGGUGGAGAUGCACACGGUGUCUGCUGGGCACCCAAAGCCCUUGCAAAACCAACCCAGCCCACAUCAUAAUGAGGAUGGUUUUAUCCAUCACAGAGCUUUGGAGACUGCACCAACCUGCAGGGAUUUGUCCCUCGCACUGAGCCCAAGUUCUUCCCAGCGGUGGCUUACCAUGGAGAGGAUGACCAAGGCAGGGAAGAAGCCCAUGAUAACGUAGCACACCAGCUCCACCAGCUUGUACCUGUGACCAACAGAGAAACUGCUUGGAGGUAGGAGCAGAGGGAGGUUGAGUUUUAUGCUUAUAAUGUCCACGGCCAGGCUAUAGGAAAAGGGGUGGCAGUGCCAUCAUGGCAGGUCCCAUGUCCUCAUGUGUGAGUCACGCUGGCACCCUGCUCAGGGGUGAUGGACCCCCCACCCUGGCUUGGGAGCUCCAGCUCAGGGCCAGGCACUUGGGGCUUCAGGGAGAAAUCAGGGGCCUUUGGCUUUUUAUUUGGUGCCACCACGUGGAAGAAGCGACUCAUGGCAGCACGUCCCUGCUCCACGUCCCUGGUCCCACAUCGCUGCUCCACAUCCCUCCUCCACAUCCCUGCUCCACGUCCCUGCUCCCACACACCCACCAGCACGGUGCCAGGUACAGGCACUCACCGCUCAUGGAAGAAGAACACAUAGACGGUCCCAAAAGACGCCAUGAUCCAGAUGAUCCAGCGCAUGUGGGAGGCCCAGGGACCCAACUCCCUCAGGUUCAGCCUGCAAGACCCAGGUCUGUGGUGAGUAGGGGCUAGGGCAGCACCCCAGUCUGGGCUAAUACAGCAAGGGGACAGGGAAAUGCUGCCUGCAUCUGAUGACUGUCCCACCAAAGGGUCUUCCCAACUUGUAACUUCAAUUUACAGAGGUUGGAAUCUAUAGGAUAUGAAGGCUUUGUGGAAAGGGGUAGGGUACAGCCUGAAGCAGAACCAAAACCAGAGGGGAAACCCUAUCCAUGGGAGCUGGGCUGAUUUUCUGCCUUCCAGUGGGGCCAAGAGGUGGCCCCCACCCACCAACAACUCACCAGGGAGCGUAGGAUGCUGCAAUGAAGAAGUAGAUCACCAUCCUGUCAAACAUGUGCAGGCAGUGCUCCACAGUCCUGUGGGAUGGACAGACAGACAGGUCACAGCACUGGGGGCCUGCGGACCCCCUCCCCCUUCCCGAGCCCUGAGCAAUCAGGGAUGGUACCUGAGAUGCCUCUUCUUCCAGGAGAUGGUGUGGAAGAUAGUGGAGACAAUGAAGAGGCUGGACAAGCCAAAGCCAUAGAUCCAGGCUGAAAUGGUUUCCCACUGGUCAUCAGAGAGGACAUAGAGGAUGGAGCUGCCAAGGAUGCUGGGAAGGAUCCAGAACUGGAAGGCAGAAGUAAACCUCCUGUUGACUCUGCAUUUCCAUCAAGCAGCUACAAUACAGUCUCCACUUUUCCUUUUA